CCUACGGGCGGCUGCAGUGGGGAAUCUUGCGCAAUGGACGAAAGUCUGACGCAGCCACGCCGCGUGAGUGAAGAAGGCCUUCGGGUUGUAAAGCUCUGUCGAGCGGGACGAAAGGUUUGUAGUUAAUACCUGCAGACUUUGACGGUACCGCUAAAGGAAGCACCGGCUAACUUCGUGCCAGCAGCCGCGGUAAUACGCAGGGUGCAAGCGUUGCGCGGAAUUAUUGGGGGUAGUGGGCAGGUUGUUGGUCGAAAUCCUCGAGCUUAACUCGAGAAGUGCCUUGGAAACGGUAAGACUGGAGUACUGGAGAGGGUCGUGGAAUUCCCGGUGUAGCGGUGAAAUGCGUAGAGAUCGGGAGGAACACCAGCGGCGAAGGCGGCGACCUGGACAGUAACUGACACUCAACUGCGAAAGCGUGGGUAGCAAACAGGAUUAGAUACCCUUGUAGUC
This 450-nucleotide ribosomal RNA is filed under the name uncultured bacterium. RNAcentral's name for it is "partial 16S ribosomal RNA". It matches the Rfam family "Bacterial small subunit ribosomal RNA", at positions 338 to 795 of the family's 1533-position model. The record is from RNAcentral.